RNAcentral lists this long non-coding RNA (394 nucleotides) under Aquilegia coerulea. RNAcentral's name for it is "long non-coding RNA (ACOE_LNC001947)". The record is from RNAcentral. Lineage: Eukaryota; Viridiplantae; Streptophyta; Magnoliopsida; Ranunculales; Ranunculaceae.
GAAAGCACUCAACAAUCAAUUACAAGUGAGUACAAUCUAUUCUUCUAGAAUGUGACAGAUUAUAGUCCGGACAACACUAGAUUUGUAGCAUAACAAACAUAAGAAUGUUUUUGUUUUGAUAUUACAUGUCAUAACUUUUCAGGAUGUGAGCUAUGAGCCCAUAAUUGACAUGGUUCGUGAGGUGUUGAAACUGAUAUGGGACAACUUCUUAUGCUGGGAAGAUUUUUUUGCUUGAAGUUAUGGGAUUUCAAAUACAUUUAGACAUGGCAUUUAAUCUCUAAGCUGACAUCGGACGAUUUUUAUGUUGGGAUGGUUCAAAUCACUUCUUUCUUGUCUGUAAUAUGUUCUGAAAAUCCAUUUUUGAUGUAGCCGAUAAAAACUAAUGAUAUUAAAU